RNAcentral lists this long non-coding RNA (1527 nucleotides) under Taeniopygia guttata (zebra finch). RNAcentral describes it as "lncRNA (ENSTGUG00000024874.1)". Lineage: Eukaryota; Metazoa; Chordata; Aves; Passeriformes; Estrildidae. The record is from RNAcentral.
UGGGGGGGCACUGGGAGAAACUGGGAAUUGCUGGGGGGGACUGGGGGGGACUGGGAGGGACUGGGAACUGGUGGGGGGGGCACUGGGAGGGACUGGGAACCGCUGGGCAGGGACUGGGAACUGCUGGGAGGGACUGGGAGCACUGGGAAUAGCACUGGGAGCACUGGGGGACUGUGGAGGGGAAACUGGGGGGGACUGGGAACUGCUGGGGGGCACUGGGAGAAACUGGGAACUACUGGGGAGGGACUGGGAGGGACUGGGGAGGACUGGGGGGGCACUGGGAGGGACUGGGGAGGACUGGGAGGGAAACAGGGAACUGGUGGGGGGGCACUGGGAGGGACUGGCAGGAUACUGGGUGUCACUGUGUGUCACUGGGAGCACUGGGGUGUCACUGGGUGUCACUGGGGUGUCACUGGGGUAUCACUGGGCACACUGGGGUGUCACUGGGUAUCACUGGGUGUCACCGGGGUGUCACUAGCAUGUCCCCACACGGUGACACCAUCCCCCCAGUGCUGUCCCUGCUGUACUGGGUGUCACUGGGAUGUCACUGGGGUGUCACUGGGCACACUGUGUGUCACUGGGGUGUCCCCACACGGUGACACUGCCACCCCGCAGUGCUGUCCCUGCUGUGCUGGGUGUCACUGGGGUGUCACUGGGGUGUCACUGGGUGUCACCGGCGUGUCCCCACACGGUGACACCUGUCCCGCAGUGCUGUCCCUGCUGCUGUGGCGGUGCCCGGCGCGCUCGGUGCUGGCGCUGCUGCUGGCCCUGCUGGCUCUGGGUGUCACUGGGGUGUCAGUGGGUGUCACUGGGGUGUCACUGGGAGCACUGGAGUGUCACUGGGGUAUCACUGUGUGUCACCGGGGUGUCACCAGCAUGUCCCCAGCGGUGACACUGCCAUCCCGCAGUGCUGUCCCUGCUGCUGUGGCGGUGCCCGGCGCGCUCGGCGCUGUCCCUGCUGCUGUCCCUGCUGGCUCUGGCCUGCCUGGCGCGGUUCAGCGCGGUGGCGGUGGUGGCACACGCGGCGCUGGCCGUGCUGGCUGUCACCGUGCCCCUGCGCCUGCGCCGGAUGGCCCUGGCGGUGCUGAGCCCCCCGCCCGCCCCCGAGCCCCCCGAGCGGUGAGUGCCACCGGGGCCGCGCCCGGCCUGUGUCCCUGUCACCGUGUCCCUGUGUCCCCGUGUCCCCGUGUCCCUGUCCCCAUGUCCCUGUCCCAUUCCUGUCCCUGGCCCUGUGCCCCUGUCCCCAUCCCGGUCCCCAUUCCCCUGUUCCUGUCCCAUCCCUGUCCCUGUCCCCAUGUCCCUGUCCCAUUCCUGUCCCUGGCCCUGUGCCCCUGUCCCCAUCCCGGUCCCCAUUCCCCUGUUCCUGUCCCAUCCCUGUCCCUGUCCCCAUGUCCCUGUCCCCUGUUCCUGUCCUCCUGUCCCUUUCCUUCUCCCCCUGUUCCUGUCCCAUCCCUAUCCCUGUCCCCAUGGCUGUCCCUGACCCUGACCCUGUCCCUGUGUCCCUGUGUCCCUGUCCCUGUCCCCUGA